RNAcentral lists this ribosomal RNA (112 nucleotides) under Caerostris darwini. Lineage: Eukaryota; Metazoa; Arthropoda; Arachnida; Araneae; Araneidae. The record is from RNAcentral.
AACGGCUAUACCAUGCUGAAUAUACCGGUUCUCGUUAGAUCACCGAAGUCAAGCAUCAUUGGGCGCGGUCAGUACUUGGGUGGGUGACCACCUGGGAGCACUGCGUGCCGUU